GUUAAUUUGUAAGUAAUUAAAACUAAAGCAUUUAAUAUAAUUUUUACUUCAAACUACUUAAAUUGUAUUACUAAAUUCACAUAUUUCUUCUAUGAAAUAAAUGAAUAAAUGCAUACAGUUUAUUAAUAUUAACUAGGGAGGGGGGUGCUAGGGAGUCUUUAGCAUACCCAAGUUCAAAAAAAACAGUGGUUAUCAUAAUAUUAUCUACAGAUAUAUAAAUUUCAUAUAUUACUUAUUACAGUGAAAUACCAGUUAACAAUGAAACAUAAACUGAAUUCGUAUUUUUAAAUACUACGCGUUAUACAGGUCACCAAUGGUAGAUCCAGCAUUUAUUUACAGCUAGGGUAUUUAUCAUGGGAAGUUAGUAAGACAGACGGUAGUUUACAUUCGAAACGCGUGGCUAUCGAUUCAAGAAGUAAAUCUGUGAUUUCGGUUCUAGUUGCAUUAGGUAUAGGAUUUAAAGUCAAACCACGGUCAAAUUAUGAGCCAUAUUAAAUAUUUUGUCCGUGUAUUUCUUCAUCAAACAUUGAUAAUUGUAUAGGUACAUGUAUACCAGAAUACGCGAUACAUAUAAAAUCAUCGAACAGAAUAAAAUUUUUUUUAUUUAUUUUGGUAACGGGUUGGCACUUGUCUUCAGUGUCCGCCCCCCCCCUCCAGAUCAAGCCUUGUGGACCAUAGGAACUUAAAUACAGUCGUAAUAUUAUCUAGGUAUUUUUCUAUAAAUCACAAUGCUUUGGGGGAUGUAUCCUCCAUAUUCGCCC
Cinara cedri is the source of this 761-nucleotide non-coding RNA. NCBI's taxonomy places the organism in Eukaryota, Metazoa, Arthropoda, Insecta, Hemiptera, Aphididae. The record is from the annotation of a GenBank genome assembly.